UCCUUUUUUGUUGUGAUAUUUUUUGAAUUUCAUUUCUAAAAUAACAAAUCUUGUACAUAUUUAUUGCAUACAAAAGGAUACUUUGAAAUAUGGGUUAAUCAUAUCAUCGUGGAUAGCAAAGUCAAGCUAACAUACAUUAAUUCACAUGCUGACCACCAUUUUGUUCUGGGAAUACUUAAAGCCUGCUUUCUUAUGGGUUUUAAAAUACUCAAUACAGUGUUGUUAAUGUUCUGUAUUUUUUUGAUACAGUAUCUUCUCACAUAGCCUUGGCACUCACUAUGGAGACCAGGUCGACCUCUAGCUAAUGAUAACUCUUCUCUGCUCUCAAGUCCUCAAGUCCUCUGCUCUCAAGUGAUUAGAAGAAUGAGCUACUAUACUCUACUAAGACCUGGUAUUUCUAUUAAUCCAUUUAAUAGAUGCUGAAUUUAAAAGCCUGCUCUCUUGAUCGAAUUACCUCCACAUAGAGACUGUGGCAGAAGUGAACGGUUGUUCAUUGCUCGCUAAUCAAAUAGUUGAGAAAGUAAAGUCAUGGAUGUUAUUUCUGUGCUCAAAAGCAAAGCUGAAAUAUGCAAUGAUAUCAAUGGCAAUUAUUAAUUAUGGAUCUUCUCAUAGUUAAUAUUUUAUUAACAUUAUUAACAUCACUGUCAUCCUCUAUGAUAUUUUUAUUGAUAUUUUAAAAAUAUUCUUUUUGAAAAAGACAUUCCUUUAUACAUUUAUUUAUUCAGUUAUUUCAGGCCCUUGCAUAUCAUAGACUGUUCUCAAACUCACUAUAUAACUAAGGGUGGCCUUGAAAUUCUGAUCCUCCUGCCUCUACUUCCUGGGUCCUGGGAUCAGACCUAGCUCAGUCCAAAUCACAUAUGCCUUGCAAGGAUCAUGUAGAAAUGGGCGACUACUUUGUUGAUGACCUGGAUGGAUGUGGGUGGAUACAGACAACAGCUUCACCAGUUGCAGAUACCAUGGACCUGAAGACUAUGUGGAGACAAGAGCCCAGGGAUUUGAUCAGAUGUCCAGAGUGUAUUGGUGAAGGGGGAUUUGGGCUCAGUCUGUUCACAAAAAGUCAUCUUGGGAGCAAAACAACCUUUCUGAUAUUUAUGUAUUAUCAGGGAAGAACUUUAAUAGCUGUUAUAUUUUCCUCUAAUUUCCUGAAAAGGGAUACAUGGAGGAAGAGAAGAGGGGAUGGGAAAGAAGUUUAAUAUUGACAUGGAUUUAAAAAAAGCACAGAAUUUGUGGGACCAAGAGAGGCCCCAUGUAGAAAGGGAGAGAUGAGGCCUCUUCUCUGUACCUGAAUCCUAAGAGCAAGUUGUCUAAGCAAUCCUCUCUCUUCCUUCUCCUCCUUUUCCUUUUCUUCUUUUUAGGGAUAGGGCCUCACUAUUUAGCUCAGGCUGGCUUUGAACUCACCUGGCUUCAGCUUUCCUAUGUGCUUCCUAACAGGCUUGUGCCAUCAUGUAAGGCUUUGAGCAGUCUCAAGAUUUUCAUUCCUUAGCUUCCCAAGACAAUGGACUAGAGGGAAUAGUGAGUUCUAGAACUUCACAGAUAUAUGGCAAGAGUGCUAUGUCAUAGGAGUCCCAAGGAUUCAUAGCAACACAGGUACCUCGUUUAGCCAUGCCAUAACUGAACUGCUAUGAUCAACUGUUUUCAGAGGAGCAUUUAGUGCUUAAGGACUACUACUGCUAUUCCAUUAUGGCCAUAUGAGGCAAAGACCGGCCAUUUCUACAACAGCUGGGAAACUAUACCCAAGGAAACUCAACAAUAUGGAGACCUAAACAAGAUCAGCAGGGUGAGAACACUACUUGACAUGCUAAUGUUGUUGGUGUUCUGUCUAAGCUCCACCCCCUCAGCUACCUGGGAACAGUCAGAUAUGCGCUGCCCUACAGUUGCCUGGCAACAGCCAGCUGGACCUGAUACUAUAAGAGGGGGCUGCUCGCCCCUUCCUCCCCCUCUUACUCCUCUCUUUGUUCUUUACUUUUCUGCUCUCUUCCCCUCUGUCCCUGUCCCUUCUCUCCCCAUCCCCUACCUUCCCUCCAUGUGCUCAUGGUCAACCUUUCCUCUCCUCUCCUCUUCUUGUCUCAUUAAACCUCUCCACGUGGAA
This is a long non-coding RNA of Rattus norvegicus (Norway rat), 2089 nucleotides long. RefSeq lists it as uncharacterized. Lineage: Eukaryota; Metazoa; Chordata; Mammalia; Rodentia; Muridae. The record is from RefSeq and is a predicted model, not a curated record.